AGUGAACGCUGGCGGCAUGCCUUACACAUGCAAGUCGAACGGUAACAGGGGGAUUGGUGGUGGCGAGGUGCGUAAGGGGGGGGAAUGUGUCGUAAGGUGCCGAAAGAUGCGGGGUAACUUAGGGUAAUCUGGGCUAAUACCUUCUGUGAUCUGAUGAUUCCACCGGGGGACGGCACGGCAAUGUUUGGCCUCGCGCCGUUGGAUCGGCCGAUGUCGGAUUAGGUAGUUGGCGGGGUAAAGGCCUACCAAGCCGACGAUCGGUAGCUGGUCUGAGAGGACGAACAGCCACACUGGCACUGAGACACGGCCCAGACACCUACGGGAGGAAGCAGUGGGGAAUUUUGGACAAUGGGCGAAAGCCUGAUCCAGCAAUGCGGCGUGCGGGAAGAAGGACUUCGGGUUGUAAAACGAUUUUGUUCGGAACGAAAAGAAUCUGGUUAAUACCUGGCGCUGAUGACGGUACCCUAAGAAUAAGCACCGGCUAACUUCGUG
This 492-nucleotide ribosomal RNA is filed under the name uncultured bacterium. RNAcentral's name for it is "partial 16S ribosomal RNA". It matches the Rfam family "Bacterial small subunit ribosomal RNA", at positions 29 to 507 of the family's 1533-position model. The record is from RNAcentral.